AAUAUUGCACAAUGGGCGCAAGCCUGAUGCAGCCAUGCCGCGUGUGUGAAGAAGGCCUUCGGGUUGUAAAGCACUUUCAGUCGUGAGGAAGGUAGUGUAGUUAAUAGCUGCAUUAUUUGACGUUAGCGACAGAAGAAGCACCGGCUAACUCCGUGCCAGCAGCCGCGGUAAUACGGAGGGUGCGAGCGUUAAUCGGAAUUACUGGGCGUAAAGCGCAUGCAGGUGGUUUGUUAAGUCAGAUGUGAAAGCCCGGGGCUCAACCUCGGAAUAGCAUUUGAAACUGGCAGACUAGAGUACUGUAGAGGGGGGUAGAAUUUCAGGUGUAGCGGUGAAAUGCGUAGAGAUCUGAAGGAAUACCGGUGGCGAAGGCGGCCCCCUGGACAGAUACUGACACUCAGAUGCGAAAGCGUGGGGAGCAAACAGGAUUAGAUACCCUGGUAGUCCACGCCGUAAACGAUGUCUACUUGGAGGUUGUGGCCUUGAGCCGUGGCUUUCGGAGCUAACGCGUUAAGUAGACCGCCUGGGGAGUACGGUCGCAAGAUUAAAACUCAAAUGAAUUGACGGGGGCCCGCACAAGCGGUGGAGCAUGUGGUUUAAUUCGAUGCAACGCGAAGAACCUUACCUACUCUUGACAUCCAGAGAACUUUCCAGAGAUGGAUUGGUGCCUUCGGGAACUCUGAGACAG
RNAcentral lists this ribosomal RNA (685 nucleotides) under Vibrio sp. Its description in RNAcentral is "bacterial SSU rRNA". It matches the Rfam family "Bacterial small subunit ribosomal RNA", at positions 360 to 1037 of the family's 1533-position model. Lineage: Bacteria; Pseudomonadati; Pseudomonadota; Gammaproteobacteria; Vibrionales; Vibrionaceae. The record is from RNAcentral.